GGGAGGGGCACAGGGGGCUGAGGAGUGCUGGGUCGGGCUUCCAGCUCCCUACAACGCAGACCAGUACUGGAGUUCGUGGUGCUGGAAGACCGCCGCCCGACUCUGGGCCCCGGGUAGGAAACAACAAUUUCGGACCUCCUGGGGUCUAUGCUAGGUAUGAGGUGUAUCUUUGCCCUCCAUCAAGUAGCAAAGAUGGACAUGUAAACAAAUUUCGACACUGUGAUGACUGCCACAAAAAGCAGCAUUAUGAGGUUGAAUGUAAAAGGAUAACCUUAGCGGCGGCGGGGGCCGGAGGAUGAAGGAAGGCUUCCUGAGGUAGGCGCUGGUUGAAACUGAAGUUGGAGAGAGCAAGUGGCAUUUGCUGAAGUGCAUUUCCGGUAGAAAACUCCAGUGGUCCCUCACCUGACUGAGUGGCGCAGUCAGAGAUAAAUGGAACAGAGUCUACAAAUAAACAUUUUAUAAAGAUGAUCCUUCAAUACAUAUUCUACAGCCCAGUUAAAAUGUGAGAGGCCAUGAUCUACAGACAGCCAUUUAUAAAGGUGGAUCAGGGCCGGACACGGUGGCUCAACGUCUGUAAUCCCGGCACUGUGGGAGGCCAAAGCGGGAGGAUCGCUUGAGCCCAGGAGUUCGAGACCAACCUGGCCAACAUGGUGAGACCCCAUCUUUACAAAAAAAUAUAUAUAUCCAGGCAUAGUGGUGUGCACCUGUGGUCCUGUGGUCCCAGCUACUCAGGAAGCUGAGGCAGUUGAGGCUGCAGUGAGCCACGUUCUGGCCACUACACUCCAGCCUGGGCAUCAAAGUGACAAGACCAAAAAAAAAAAAAAAUGUGGAUUGGAAGGAGGCAAGAAAGAAGUCAGGAAAAGGGUGGAAUGUAAGUCCCUAAGGACACAAUCUUACUCACAAUUGUAUCUCCAACAUUUGGCAUAAUGCCUAAUACGUAAGUAUUUUAUGAAUUAAUUAAACGAGAACACAAGCCUAAAUUAAGGCAAUGGCAAUGGAGAAGAAGAAACCAACUUGAGAAAUAUUUAAAGGUCAUUGUCAAUGGAACUUAGUGACUUUAAUGGUUAAUUUUAUCUAUCAACUUGGCUAGGCGAUGCUACCCAUGUUACUCAGUUUUUGGUCAAACACUAGUCUAGUUGUUGCUAUGAAUUGUAUUUGUUAGAUGUGAUUAACAUUUAAAUCAGCAGACUUUGAUUAAAGUACAUUACCCUCUAUAAUGAGGGUGGGCCGCAUCCGGUCAGUUCAAAUUAAAACGAGACCCUUAAGAAGAAGCAAUUCAGCCUCCAGACUGCAGCGUCAAAUCUCCCUGGGUCUCCAGGCUGUUUGUCUGCCCUGCAGAUUUCAGACUUGCCAGCUCCCAGAAUAAUGUGAGCCAAUUCCUUAAAAUAAAUCUCUUUCUGCAUAUACA
This 1408-nucleotide long non-coding RNA is filed under the name Homo sapiens (human). RNAcentral's name for it is "HSALNT0381055". Lineage: Eukaryota; Metazoa; Chordata; Mammalia; Primates; Hominidae. The record is from RNAcentral.